Molecule: ribosomal RNA, 497 nt
Filed under: uncultured bacterium
Lineage: Bacteria
Description: partial 16S ribosomal RNA
Rfam family: Bacterial small subunit ribosomal RNA
Source: RNAcentral
GAUGAACGCUGGCGGCGUGCCUAAUACAUGCAAGUCGAGCGAACAGACGAGGAGCUUGCUCCUCUGACGUUAGCGGCGGACGGGUGAGUAACACGUGGAUAACCUACCUAUAAGACUGGGAUAACUUCGGGAAACCGGGGCUAAGACCGGAUAAUAUAUUGAACCGCAUGGUUCAAUAGUGAAAGACGGUUUUGCUGUCACUUAUAGAUGGAUCCGCGCCGCAUUAGCUAGUUGGUAAGGUAACGGCUUACCAAGGCAACGAUGCGUAGCCGACCUGAGAGGGUGGUCGGCCACACGGGAACUGAGACACGGUCCACACUCCUACGGGAGGCAGCAGUAGGGACUCUUCCGCAAUGGACCAAAGCCUGACGUAGCAACGCCGCGUGAGUGAUGAAGGUCUUCUGAUCGUAAAGCUCUGUUAUUAGGGAAGAACUAAUGUGUAAGUAACUAUGCACGUCUUGACGGUACCUAAUCAGAAAGCCACGGCUAACUACGUG